This 362-nucleotide ribosomal RNA is filed under the name bacterium enrichment culture DGGE band 61_2_FG_L. RNAcentral's name for it is "bacterial SSU rRNA". It matches the Rfam family "Bacterial small subunit ribosomal RNA", at positions 519 to 877 of the family's 1533-position model. The record is from RNAcentral.
GGUAAUACGUAGGCGACGAGCGUUACCCGGAUUCACUGGGCGUAAGGGGGUCGUCAGGCGACUCAGUGUGUCGGGUGUGAAAUCCCACUGCGUCAACCGUGGAAUUGCGCCCGAAACUACUGGGUUUGGGGCUGGUAGAAGGAGAAGGAACUGGUGGAGUAGGGAUGAAAUCAGUAGAUAUCAGCAGGAACACCGGUGGGGAAGCCGUUCUCCUGGGUCAUGCCCGACGAUGAGGCCCGAAAGCUAGGGGAGCAAACCGGAGUAUAGAUACCCGGGUAGUCCUAGCCGUAAACGAUGCCCACGAGGUGUGGGGGAGUCAUACCUCCGUGCUGCAGCUUAACGCGUUAAGUGAGCCGCCUGGG